UUAUAAAUAAACUAAACAAGUUAUUAGGCUCAUACCCUAACAAUAGAAAUCCUUAAUCUUCUUUUAUAAA
RNAcentral lists this transfer RNA (70 nucleotides) under Cleptes metallicorpus. RNAcentral's name for it is "tRNA-Met". Lineage: Eukaryota; Metazoa; Arthropoda; Insecta; Hymenoptera; Chrysididae. The record is from RNAcentral.